UCUUCCUUUCCUCGAUUUGCCGUCAGAAAAAAAACAACCGGCGAACUCAAUCGUAAUUGAUUUCUAGGCGUGCCCCUGAUCGUCGGAUCAACCAUUGAACCUAGUUUAGGAGUGUUUUGUGUGAAUCGGAGAGAGGGAGGGAAUGAACGGUGACGAUGAGGAGAUGGUCGCAGCUUCGGUAGAUCCAUAUCUGCCUCUAGAAUGGAGAUUCUCUCAGGUCUUCGGUGAACGCAGCGCUGGUGAAGAAGUUCAAGAAGGUUAAACUCAUCGAUCUAAUCUCUGAAAUUGGAAUUAAGGCAUCUUUGAUCUAUUUUUAAUCAAAGUUUUGAUUCCCUUUUUUUUUUUUUUUUUUGAGGAGAGGAUGUGACUAGAUUUGUUUUUUUUUUUCUUUCUUUGGUCAAGUUUUGUAAUUGUUAAUUAUGCUUAAUGGCUUAUUAUGUAUGCUUGUAGCUGAGCUUGUGACUAGAUUACAUUGUAUUGUUUUCAUUAUGUAUGUUGAAAUCCUCAAAACUGGAAGCUUGUGUGUUCCUCCGCAGUUGAUGUGAUUUCAGCAAUCGAGUUUGAUCAUUACGGCGACCAUCUUGCUACUGGGGACCGUGGAGGACGUGUUGUUCUCUUUGAGAGGAGCGAUGUCAGAAAUGUAACUUCCCCACCUUUUUUAUUUUUUUUUGCCUUUGCGAAGCAUAUCUGAAAAAAUGGGAAUUUGACAUUUGGUUAUAUGUUGUUGCAUGCUAUUAUCAUUUACAGAGCAGUGGAGGAGCUAGAAGGGAUCUUGAAGAAACUGAUCACCACCCACUGAGGCAUCCGGAGUUCCGUUAUAAAACAGAGUUUCAGAGUCAUGACCCUGAGGUAUGAUGAUUCAUUACUCUCUUCUCCUAAUACGUUGUGUGCUAUACCUUUUUUUUAUUUUCUGUCUUUUCAUAUGUGAUCCUUGUCUACCAGUUUGAUUAUCUCAAGAGUUUGGAGAUAGAGGAGAAGAUCAACAAAAUUAGAUGGUGUCAAACAGCCAAUGGCGCUCUUUUUCUCCUUUCCACAAACGAUAAAACCAUCAAGUAUUGGAAGGUGAGAACAUCCUUUAUUUAUCGUGUCUGUUGCUUCUCGAUAUUUAGGGUGUACAACGAUUAAGCUGAUACCUUAAUGCUCAUUGACAAUAUUGUUUGUUGGGUUGCGUACUGUAUCUAAAUGGUUCUAAGUCGUGAAUGUUGUAAAGAAUUUUUCUUUGUGUGUUAUAUUUUUUUUCUAUCUAUAAACAGUUGAGAUGUGUAUGUAGAGGUGAAAUCUUUUCUUUUUCUUUACUCAUGUGAGUGUUAACAGGUUCAAGACAAGAAGAUGAAGAAAGUUUGUGAAGUAAAUUCAGAUCCUUCAAAAACUGGAGCGCUCGCAAGCUCUAGCAAUCCAAGCAUUACAACCGCGUGCCUUGGGAACGGAGGAGUAAUCUCAUCGCUGCGGUUCCCAGUGGUAAAUAAAUAAAUGCAUUCUGAAUGAUCAAAUUUGCUCGAAUUUUACAGUUCAUUGAUGCUAGACUUGUGCUUCUUAGCUCUAAUCUCCCGUGCUCUUCUGAUUUGGAAUUGGUUCUCAAAGUUUCUUGAUACUACUACUACUCGUCUGUAGACUAAAAGUUCAAUUUUGGCUUAUACAGGUAACUAGCCAUGAGUCGAGCCCUGUGGCUAGAUGUCGGAGAGUCUAUUCUCAUGCCCAUGAUUAUCACAUCAAUUCCAUCUCAAAUAACAGGUACCUUAUUCAUAUAAUCAAUCAUAUUAACCCUUUUUGAUUUUGAUUUUGAUUAUUAUUUUUUGCUUUUUUUCCCUGUGAGAAAUUUUUUAUGAUGUCAUUGUAAAAGUUUCUUCUCUAUUUAAAUCAGCGACGGAGAAACAUUUAUUUCGGCUGAUGAUUUGCGAAUAAAUCUUUGGAAUCUGGAGAUUAGCAAUCAGAGUUUCAAUAUCGUUGAUGUCAAGCCUGAGAAAAUGGAAGAUCUAUCUGGUAAAGCCCUGCGUAACUGCUGCUCUUUCACUCCAAUAAGCAAUAGGAUGCUAAUACGGCAAUGGUUCUUGCAGAGGUUAUCACAUCAGCAGAGUUUCAUCCUACUCAUUGCAAUAUGUUAGCUUAUAGCAGUUCCAAAGGCUCUAUUCGCCUGCUUGAUCUGCGCCAAUCAGCUUUAUGUGAUUCACAUUCCAAAUUGUAAGUCUUGAGACUUUGCAAUUCUGUUUAAGUUUGUUUCAUCAAAAUAUCUCUCGCACCUCCUUUCUUUGGAAUAUAAACACUGAAGCUAACAUUGCGUGUUUCUGCAGGUUUGAGGAACCAGAGGCAGCAGGUCCUAAGUCGUUCUUCACUGAGAUAAUUGCUUCAGUGUCAGACAUCAAAUUUGCAAAAGAAGGAAGAUAUCUCCUUAGCCGUGACUACAUGACACUCAAGGUCCAUACACUUUCAUUGGCAUUAGAUAUAACUAUGCCCUUAAAGCUAUCAGUGGCUGGUUUCUAAUUCUUCUCGUAAGAUAAACUGAACUUAUAGUUAUGUUUUCUCCUUGUCAGUUAUGGGACAUCAACAUGGAUUCAGGUCCGGUAUCAACUUUCCAGGUUCAUGAGUAUCUGAAACCGAAGGUAAGUUUCCUAUACUUUUGAGUGAACUGCUUUUGUCCAACUGGUGCGUAGCUGAUUGGUACUCCAUUUCCCUUGGCCAAUAUCAGCUCUGUGAUUUAUAUGAAAAUGAUUCCAUCUUUGACAAGUUUGAGUGUUGCAUAAGUGGCAAUGGACUGCGAGCAGCUACAGGUUCUUACAGGUAUAUGCCCCGGAAAGCAGAGCAUGUUUCUUUGUUAUUAGCAUUAUCAUCUAUACUCAUUCCUUCCGCUCGCUCACAUUGCUCUAUCCAGCAAUAUGUUCCGUGUGUUUGGUGUUUCCCCCGGAAGUACCGAGUCUGCAACUUUAGAAGCAAGCAGGAAUCCUAUGAGGUAAAAGCUAUUAAGAGUUAGUGUACUCGAUCUUAUCUUCCUUACCUUUUUUUUGUGGUUUUAUCAUAGGAGACAUGUCCCAGUUCCCUCGAGGCCAUCCAGACUAGGCAGUAUAGCGCGUGUUGUAGGUAGAGGUCAGUCUCUCUCUCUCUCUCCCUCUCCCUUUCUCAUUUAAGCUACCUUUUAAGAUCAAAUUAGUAAGUAAAUACACUGAAAUGGUGAAAGCAGGAUCAGAGAGUGCAGGAGGAGUCGAUGGGAGUAGCAAUGCUCUUGAUUACAAAACAAAGUUGCUGCAUCUUGCUUGGCAUCCAAAUGAGAACUCUAUUGCUUGUGCCGCUGGAAAUAGCUUGUACAUGUACUAUGCUUAACCACAUUACUCAGCCUGUGAUCUUAUUUGUUUGUCGAAAUCUGGGAAUCAUCUCAUACUCUCUCCUCUUCCUUUCCUCGAUUUGCCGUCAGAAAAAAAACAACCGGCGAACUCAAUCGUAAUUGAUUUCUAGGCGUGCCCCUGAUCGUCGGAUCAACCAUUGAACCUAGUUUAGGAGUGUUUUGUGUGAAUCGGAGAGAGGGAGGGAAUGAACGGUGACGAUGAGGAGAUGGUCGCAGCUUCGGUAGAUCCAUAUCUGCCUCUAGAAUGGAGAUUCUCUCAGGU
RNAcentral lists this long non-coding RNA (3596 nucleotides) under Brassica napus (rape). RNAcentral's name for it is "long non-coding RNA (BNAP_LNC020331)". The record is from RNAcentral. Lineage: Eukaryota; Viridiplantae; Streptophyta; Magnoliopsida; Brassicales; Brassicaceae.